GUGUACUGCCCCUUUAAGUGUGAGCUUGCGCAGAGAGUGCGUGCACGCUGCAAGGCAGAGUGUAUGUGUAAACAGCAGGGAGAGAACGCAUGCAAUGUGAGUAAUGCUGACUUGUUCGAUUAAAAUGAGCUUGUAUAUUGCAAAUUUAAGUUGAAUAGCUGGUUUAUUGUUUUACAUGCUUGCUGUGAAGUUGAAUUGAAAAACUGUGGAAGAGUGCUGAAGUCGAAAAGCACUUGUUGCUUUCUGUGAUUGUUUACUGAGACAUUCUGACUGGUUUUUGGUUCCUGGACAAAUUGUUGGAGGAUGUGAUUGACCCCUGAAUCAUCUGAGUGGAUUCUUCUGGAUAUCUCUUUGUCAUUUUGCCUUGUGUUUCAACUCUUCCGCUCUUGUUCUUCUGUUCUUGAGAACCUGGAGUGUUAUUUCUGGGAAGCGGUAGGACUGAGACAUUAUUUCAUACACAUUGCCCGGGACUGAGACAUUUUUUUUCCUUACAUAUUCCCCUGUAUCCAAAGGAGAAGGAAAAACUGAACAUUUAAAUAUUGGGGAUAUGCUUUUUGAAAUACUUGGGUUAUAAUUGUACUGUUUAUAUUUGUUUCAAUCUAAUUGUCAAUUUAUUUUCAUUAAUUGAGUGUUUUUUGAAGUGCCAGAAGAAAAAAAGGGGAAACCAUUCACCUAUAUUGCCACAAUAUAUAUAUAUUCCUGGCUAA
Misgurnus anguillicaudatus (oriental weatherfish) is the source of this 707-nucleotide non-coding RNA. NCBI's taxonomy places the organism in Eukaryota, Metazoa, Chordata, Actinopteri, Cypriniformes, Cobitidae. The record is from RefSeq and is a predicted model, not a curated record.